This 403-nucleotide ribosomal RNA is filed under the name uncultured bacterium. Its description in RNAcentral is "bacterial SSU rRNA". It matches the Rfam family "Bacterial small subunit ribosomal RNA", at positions 356 to 773 of the family's 1533-position model. The record is from RNAcentral.
UAGGAAUUUUGCGCAAUGGACGAAAGUCUGACGCAGCAAUGCCGCGUGAAGGAUGAAGGCCCUCGGGUUGUAAACUUCUUUUAGUUGGAGCGAAAUAAAUGACGGUACCAACAGAAAAAGCACCGGCUAACCCUGUGCCAGCAGCCGCGGUAAUACAGGGGGUGCAAGCGUUACUCGGAAUCAUUGGGCGUAAAGAGCGUGUAGGCUGUCUAUUAAGUUUGGUGUGAAAGCCCUGGGCCCAAUCCAGGAAGCGCAUUGAAUACUGAUAGACUAGAGUAUGGGAGGGGUUAGUGGAAUUCCUGGUGUAGAGGUGAAAUUCGUAGAUAUCAGGAGGAACAACAGUGGCGAAGGCGACUAACUGGACCAUUACUGACGCUAAGGCGCGAAAGCGUGGGGAGCAAAC